Molecule: ribosomal RNA, 161 nt
Filed under: Aloe inermis
Lineage: Eukaryota; Viridiplantae; Streptophyta; Magnoliopsida; Asparagales; Asphodelaceae
Description: 5.8S ribosomal RNA
Rfam family: 5.8S ribosomal RNA (bases 1-94)
About the family: 5.8S ribosomal RNA (5.8S rRNA) is a component of the large subunit of the eukaryotic ribosome.
Source: RNAcentral
UGGUGUGAAUUGCAGAAUCCCGCGAACCAUCGAGUUUUUGAACGCAAGUUGCGCCCGAGGCCACCCGGUCGAGGGCACGCCUGCCUGGGCGUCACGCCUCGCGUCGCUCCGCUACCUCGCCCUGAGCACCCCGUGCUCUUAUGGCGGCGGACGGCGGAUGC